GUCCCUAAACGUGUCAUUGGGGAGAAGCACUGUGUACGGAUUACAGGGCAGAAUUACACAGAGAACUGGAAAAAGCGUCAGAACUUGUAUGUUUAGCAUAUAUGUAUUCUGUUUGCUUGUUUUCUGUUUUUAAUAAAUGGAGCACAUCUGCUAGCACCCUCUCUGAAGUGUGCUGACACACUGAAGUCCUCGACCUCCACCCGACUGGCCCCGCCACAGGCAUAGGCAUCUUUUGGAUCAGCAGUUGUCACUGCUCUCGGAGGACGCAUAACAGCCUCAGGACUCUUUUGUCCAAUCCCGCAUGCAGUCUGCCUGUGCUAUCAGAGACAACCAACCAGCCUUAGUUUAAAGAGACUUCCAUGGAGUUAAAUAACCUGCCAGUUGCUCUGUUCUCUUCUCUCCUUUUCUUUACAGGGCCAGAGAAAAUACAAAGCAAGGAGAUAGAGCAAAUGCAGGAAUAACCCGGGCAGAAGUCAGUUCAGAACUUGAAAAUUCUUGCUUCUCCCCUUUCUUGUUCUCCUACCCCAACCUAAGUCCUCGCAGGACCGCGUACCGCCUCAGGGAUAAACUGUGAUCAUUCUUUAAUUCCAUUUCUUGGCUUAUGUUUGGUGCAGAGAGACAGAACAGAUUCAUAAAAAGUUACCAAGAAUUCAAAGCUGCCAGAGACCCUCGAGCUGAAGGACUCUCAGGUGUCAUUGAGAAUCACCUGCCCACACAUUCGGACAGCCAGCCUCUCCCAUCAGUGUCCUGAAAGCAGUGAGGAGGAAAAACGACAUUCCCUGGAGGUCGGUGCAAAGCCAUUCCCAGUCGCCUGCCCCAGGAUCUGGAGAGAAGAUGCCCUGUACAUCCCAGCAUUCUUUUACUGGGACGGGCCACAGGCUGAGUCAGUGCCCCUGGGCUGUGAUGUGUCUCUGAUCUCUAAAUGGGAAUGAACUUCCUUGGACAGCUAGACGUGGUGAAGGAAUCCUACCACGUGGGAUUCGGGAGCCCAAAGAAACUGCGGGCCAGUCUUUCCCUCCAUCUGUAGUUUCACGCCUGUAUCUCCUGUGCCUUACAGGUAACAUAUUUUCCUAUUGCAUAAGGGAAAAGGUGAAACUCCAAUGAAGAAUUUCAUUCUUUCUU
RNAcentral lists this long non-coding RNA (1122 nucleotides) under Fukomys damarensis (Damara mole-rat). RNAcentral's name for it is "lncRNA (ENSFDAG00000024947.1)". Lineage: Eukaryota; Metazoa; Chordata; Mammalia; Rodentia; Bathyergidae. The record is from RNAcentral.